CCUACGGGCUGCAGCAGUGGGGAAUAUUGGACAAUGGGCGAAAGCCUGAUCCAGCCAUGCCGCGUGUGUGAAGAAGGCCUUCGGGUUGUAAAGCACUUUCAGUGGGGAAGAAAGCCUUGGGGCUAAUACCCUCGAGGAAGGACAUCACCCACAGAAGAAGCACCGGCUAACUCCGUGCCAGCAGCCGCGGUAAUACGGAGGGUGCGAGCGUUAAUCGGAAUUACUGGGCGUAAAGCGCGCGUAGGCGGUCUGAUAAGCCGGUUGUGAAAGCCCCGGGCUCAACCUGGGAACGGCAUCCGGAACUGUCAGGCUAGAGUGCAGGAGAGGAAGGUAGAAUUCCCGGUGUAGCGGUGAAAUGCGUAGAAAUCGGGAGGAAUACCAGUGGCGAAGGCGGCCUUCUGGACUGACACUGACGCUGAGGUGCGAAAGCGUGGGUAGCAAACAGGAUUAGAUACCCGAGUAGUC
This 465-nucleotide ribosomal RNA is filed under the name Vreelandella stevensii. Its description in RNAcentral is "partial 16S ribosomal RNA". It matches the Rfam family "Bacterial small subunit ribosomal RNA", at positions 338 to 795 of the family's 1533-position model. The record is from RNAcentral. Lineage: Bacteria; Pseudomonadati; Pseudomonadota; Gammaproteobacteria; Oceanospirillales; Halomonadaceae.